AUUAAAGUUGUUGCAGUUAAAAAGCUCGUAGUUGGACUUGUGUGCGCUGUCCGCGGGUGGCCUGCGCCCAAAAGGGCGUUUCGGUUCGGCCCCGGUGGCGCCUUGAAAUCUGCAGCUGGGGGGACGUUGGCCUUAACUGGUCGGCGACCGCACGCCGGCUGCUCGGUUACUGUGAGAAAAUUAGAGUGUUCAAGGCAGGCAUUGGGUGCAAUUGAAUACAUUAGCAUGGAAUAAUAAAAUAUGGCUCCUGCCGUAUUUUGUUGGUUUUGACUGGUGGGAGUAAUGAUUGAUAGGGACGGUUGGGGGUGCUAGUAUUGAGCGGCCAGAGGUGAAAUUCAUGGAUUCGCUCAAGACUAACUUAUGCGAAAGCAUUCACCAAGGACGUCCUCUUUAAUCAAGAACGAAAGUUGGGGGAUCGAAGACGAUCAGAUACCGUCGUAGUCUCAACCAUAAACUAUGUCGACUUGGGAUCGGCGGUAGUUUUUUCAUUAAGACACUGUCGGGACCACGGGAGAAAUCAAAGUGUCUGGACUCUGGGGGAAGUAUGGUCGCAAGGCUGAAACUUGAAGGAAUUGACGGAAGGGCACCACCAGGAGUGGAGCCUGCGGCUUAAUUUGACCCAACACGGGGAAACUUACCAGGUCCAGAGAUGUAGAGGAUUGACAGAUUGAAGCUCUUUCUUGAUCACUUCGGUGGUGGUGCAUGGCCGUUCUUAGUUGGUGGAGUGGUUUGUCUGGUUAAUUCCGUUAACGAACGAGACCUCAGCCUGCUAGUGUAGUCGGCUGGAUUGCCUUUGGCGAUCCGUGAUUUCGACUUCUUAGAGGGACAAUCGACGCGCAGUCGAUGGAAGUUUGAGGCAAUAACAGGUCUGUGAUGCCCUUAGAUGUUCUGGGCCGCACGCGCGCUACACUGCUGGGCUCAGCGAGUUUUACUUGGCCGAGAGGCCCGGUUAAUCUUGUGAAAUCCCAGCGUGCUUGGGCUCGCCUCCUGCAACUGGAGGCGCCAACGAGGAAUUCCUAGUAGACGCAGGUCAUCAACCUGCAUCGAUUACGUCCCUGCCCUUUGUACACACCGCCCGUCGUUCCAUAAGAGUGAGGCAUCCGGUGAAUUCUCGGGAGAGCCUGGGCGUGGCCAGCAAUGGUCUGCUCGGGUUUGAACUUGCAUAAACUUGGUGCCUAUGAUUAGGG
Molecule: ribosomal RNA, 1187 nt
Filed under: metagenome
Description: SSU rRNA
Rfam family: Eukaryotic small subunit ribosomal RNA
Source: RNAcentral